Loxodonta africana (African savanna elephant) is the source of this 6402-nucleotide long non-coding RNA. RefSeq lists it as uncharacterized. NCBI's taxonomy places the organism in Eukaryota, Metazoa, Chordata, Mammalia, Proboscidea, Elephantidae. The transcript is spliced from 4 exons. The record is from RefSeq and is a predicted model, not a curated record.
CUCUUUUCUAUGAAACUCAAUAUAUGAUUUUCCAGUUUUUGUAAUUAGAGUAGAGGGCUGCAUGAAACUGGCAGUGGGCCAGAGAGUUUCAGGAGAGGAGAACUGCACCAAGAAUGGGAAACACAAUGAAGCAGUAAGGAAAUGAGGAAGGUCCGAGAAAGUGGGCAAGAUGCUGGGUCAGCUGAACGUCUUAGGAAAGGAACCACUUCAGACUUGACUUCCGCCCCUGGCAGAAGAGGUUCCUGGCUACCUGCCAAUUAUAAGCAGAUAGAAACAGAGCACUGGGAGAGAACAGUCAACCAAGGUGGAGGGCAGUGAGACAAAGGCACGGAGCCCAGGAGCCAGGAGAAGAGCUGAUGGUGGGGAAGAGCCGGCAAUGAGGAGAGGCUAGAAAGACCAGUGUUCUUAUACGCAAUCAGUGGAAGCAGUUCCUGCAGGUUCCUGGGACCACCACCAGGAAGACAGCGGGGCCUGGACCACACCUGGGAGGCAGCCCACAGGCUCAGAGGUGAAGGACCAUUGACUUGAAGGACACCUACGUCAAUUGGCACGACAUAGCUUAUAAAGACAAAGCUCUGCAUCCUACUUUGGCCCAGCACUAUGUCCUCUACUGAUGAGAACACACAGACACCAGUAAAGGAUGAGGUUGCCAGUCCUGAUGGGGAGCUUGUAGACAGAGCCUGUGGCCUUCUGCAGACCAAACCAAAGGGAUGUCCUGAGAACAAAUGAGGAGUCAAGGAGACUGACGAUGUAUGAAACUCGAGAGAGAAAGUACAAUGAAAAAACUGGAGAUUAUUUUCUUUUUCCUAAUAAACAACCAUCUGCCAGAAGUAUCACAGCUCAUGCUAAGCCUCACUGGAGACUCACCACAAAGGCUCAGAGCUGGUGGGGCCCAAGAGAUCAUCUUCCCAGUCCCAGAAUCAGAAAGGCAACCCUAACCCUAAAUAGAUGUCCACAGCGCCAUGGGAAUAGAUUAUAAAGAGAUGAGAGCUCUGUAAACCUGCUACAGCCAGAGCACAGGUGUCCAGUGGGCUCCCAGAACCACAGCCUUAGAGGGUCCCUAGAUGGCCAAGGACAUGUCUGGGACCAGCCACUGCCAGAAAAGCCAGCUCUUAACUCGGCCACUUUGAAUUCAGGGCCCAGCCCUACACCCCUUGUAAACUCCUCACAUACUAGGAGGGUUUCAGCCACCAGUGAGCGGUGUGCCAAGAGACAGCGCAGUUUAAGGCUAGCGCUCCUGAGGGCUGCGCCCUAUUCACCAUUGCUGUGGGCAUCCAGCCUCUGCCCCGUCCUGUGGCCUCGCAUGAGCCAGGGCCAUCCAGUGGUGGAAGCACUUGACCCUCACAGACUGGACGGUAGCUGGGGGCCGUGGGCGGACGACAAUGAAAACAAUUUGAUGAUCCUCUUCCUCUCCCGCUGCCCCGACUUUGGAAGAAAGAGGAAGAAUCUAAGUAUAAAGGCUUUAGCUUCUGAAAGAUUGGGUUUAUUUUGUCUCAAGGACUUCCUAGUGAUCUGAUUUUGGUUUCUUUGUCUCAGUGGCAAUUAUUGCAUUUUCCUAAGUUUGAUACCAGAGUUCUGAUCCCUGUGGGAAACCUUUCAGAGGCAGCUUGUUCUUCAUUGGACAGUGGGCUAAAUGUUGAAUGUCUGUGCUCCCGCAAGUGCACGUGGCAGGGAGUGCAGGUCUGGAAGUCUGGAAGCUUCUGGUCUCUCUGCAAAUACUUCAGGGAGCCUUUCAGAGAGGUUAUUAAGCAAGCCCCUGGAGCACACCCCCAAAACAAGUCGGACUGUUGUUGUUCUCAGUAGUCUCUGGGCAUCCCAAACACAUCUCUCCUUUAUUUCCACGCUAAUGAGAAUAAUCUCCCAGUGGAGGAGGCAGGAAGGAAGCUAGACAAUGCAUUUCCAUAAAGCAAAGGUCAACGACUGUCUCAGCACUUGAGCCAAUACCCGAAACACAUGCAUUCAGCCUGUACUAUUUUUGCUACUUGGUCCUUAAAAAAGCCUAUUUCCUAGAAAUUUGUUUCAUCCAUCCAGGAAAAAGUGAAGAGUUCCCUUUACAUGGAAGUUAGACAGAACUGACUGAAAGGCUCAGGGGUGAGGCUGGGGAAGCAGAUCGCCAACUUUCCAUCACCUACGUCUGCAGAGGACAAUCGAGAAGGUCCCAUCUUCUGACUGGUUCUGCAUGGCUUCUUUCUCUGGUAACAACAAGUUUUCAAAGAACUCUGGACAACUACAAAACCAAAAAGCCAGACCAAGUGCCAGGGAGUCGAUUCCGAUUCACGGUGACCCCAUGUGUUUCAGAGCAAAAGCGUGCCCCAUUAGGUUUUUAUGGCUGUGUGACCUUUCGGAAGCAGAUCACCAAGCCUGCCUUCCCAGGUUCCUCUGGGUGAGUUCAAACCUUCAACCUUUUGGUUAGUAGUUACUGUUCAACCAUUUGCACCACCCAGGGCGUGAAACUCUUAUCUGGAUUAUUUUCUGAAUGAUUACUUCUCGGUAAUAAUUAGCAUUAGGAGCAAUUUGUAAAAGGCCUCUGCCUGAGAAUCCUACAUGCUGUAGAGUUCUAGGUACAGAGUGGCCCCGAAUUAGGAGGAUGGGUUGGGGGCACCCAGUCCAAAAUCCUUGCCAGGGUGAGGAUCAGCUGGCAUCCUGGAGGAAAGGCAAUUUUCCCUCAGUUUGCUCACUUUGAGUGUCAAGGAGCUAACUCCCAAGCAGGGCAUUCUAUCCCAUGCUAAUCUAAUAGUGAGAACAUUUCUUCUUUUCUCCUCUUGAGCUUUCAUUUCUGGUCCUGGUUGUUUGUUCUCUGAGGAGUUACACAGAGUUAAGUCAGCUGUCUCCAUCAAACAUCUGAAGACAUCUAUCCUGCCUCCCCUGAGCUAAACAUCCUUGUGCUCUGAGUAUCUCUUACAGGGGCCCUUCUUGCCAUCCUGGUUGUUCUCCUCUGAACCCUCUCCAGCAAGUCAGGCUUUGUAUGUGGGCUGCAUAUCGCUUCUGCCUGCAUUCCACUGGCCAGAACUCAAGUACAGGUCCCACAUGCAGGUAGGUGUAUGUGUUGGGGGUGAGAGGUGGCUGGAGAGGUAGUACACAGAUGGGUGUCUGCUUCCAGGAACAGCUCCACACUAUACAAGGGGAGCACAGGCUGCAACUAUGGAGGUGUCAAAUUUUUUUUUCUCAUAUUUUGCUGAUGUAUGUUUUUUGUUGCUGUUGUUAGCUGCUGUCUAGUUGCCCCUGAUCAUGGUGACCCGAUGCACAAUGAGAUCCACCCAUUGCAAUCUAUAGGGUUUUCAUUGGCUGAUUUUUCACAAGUGGAUUGCCCAGCCCUUCUUCUUAGUCCUUCUUAGUCUGGAAGGUCUGCUGAAACCUGUUCAGCAUCAUAGCCACACACAAAUCUCACUAACAGAUGGGUGGUGGUUGCACGUGAGGUGCACUGGCAGGGAAUUGAACCCGGGUCUCUCACAUGGGAGGUGAGAAGUCUACCACUGAACCACUAUUGUUCCCCCAUAUAUACUCUUAGUCCCAAACAAAAUAUUAAAUUUAAAUAAAGUAGGGAUUUUCACUUCAGGGACCAGAAAAAGCAUAUGAAACUUCUGUAUUAGUUACUCAUUACUGUGCAACAAGUUACCCCCAAAUUUAGUGGUUUAUAACAAUAAUAAACAUCUAUUAUCUCAGUUUUGAUGGGUCAGGAUUUGGGAGUGGAUUAGCUGGGCAGUUCUGGCUUGGGAUGCGGUUAAGACACUCACGAGGUUGUGGUCACGAUACUAGCUGGGAUGCAGUCAUUUGAAAGCUUGACCGAAGCUGGAGGAUGGACCCAUUUCCAAGGUUGCUCAUUCACAUGGCUGGCAAGUUGGUGCUGGUGGUUGACAGGAGGCCCCAGUUCCUUCCCAUGUGGACCUCUCCACAGGCUGAGGGUCCUCAAGAUGUGGCAACUGACUUCCCUCAGAGCAAACAAUCCAUGAGUGCGAGGUAAAUGCAGCAAUGUUUCUCAUUAGCUAGCCUCAGAAGUGACAGUCACGUCUGCUAUGUGCUAUUUGAAGUUGGCACUAAGUCCAGUCCAUGCUCAAGGGAAUGGAAAUUUGAAGGGAAGGGCAUCAAAGAAUUUUUGGACAUAUUUUAAAGCCACCACAGCUGCCAUAAAAAAAAAAAAAAUUCCCUAUUGUCUUCUCUUAAGAUCUAAUACAAAGAUGGUUAUCUUUUGAUUUUUUUUCUUCUAUCUUCCACUUAAAACUGAUGCAAAUCUAGAGUCCACCUCACUGACGGCAUUUUUCUUACAAUUUCUGGCACACGUAGAUUUACUCAUUACCUUUUCAUCUCUUUCUCUCCUAGGAAAUAGAUGAGUAUUUUCUCCUCAGAUGAGGAAGCCUUGGCUAUUCUCAAAAUGGCAGCCUCCCCUGAGCUAGAGGCAGUGACAGUAGUCUUAGAGAAAGGCUUAUUCAAAUCCAGAAGGAGCCGUGAGGGGAGAUGUCUUCAGGGCUGUUUUCAAUUUAGUAAGCCCUAUAAAAUGAAUUCUUCGAUGGAAGAAGUGUGACAACUAAGGACAUAUGGACUCACAAGAACCUCCCUGAAACCCCAGAUCUUACUGGUGGUGGUCGUUAGCAGUGAUCAAAGGAUAGGCUUGAAUGAGGUGUAGAAAUUUUUAUUUAUCAAAAUUCUCUUCAGUGAGACCACUUCUGCUUCUUGCCCUGGCCAGCAUGUCCCAGCUACACUGCUCCUUGAACAUGUCAGGUGUGAUUCCCUCUUCCGGGCCUCUGCAGAGCUCCUUCCUCAGACUGGUUUGUUCUCCCUCAGUUCUUUUCGUGGAUAGUUCAUUUUUAUAAUUAAGUCACCUCUUCAGCAAACCCUUUCCUAACCAUUUAAUCUCAAGUAGCUCUUCUGCCACGACCAAGUCCCUCUGUUUUAGGUUUAUGGUUACACUCAUUGCUAUUUUUCCAGGUUUUUUCAUGUGUAUUUAUUUAGUGUGUUACCCCAACUACAAUGCCUGUGCCAUGAGAUCAGCCUGUUUAUACAUUUGCUCUUCAGGGUGCCCCAGUCCCUUGUAGGAUGCCUGGCACAGAGGUGUUGAGUGAAAGAAGGAAUGAGUGGACAGGCCACUUAGCUCAGCUGGAUGCUCAUGGUUAAAAAUUGCAAAACCAAAAAAACUCUCACACUUUCUCUAGCCCUUCUGAAAAACUAAAGGGUGAGCAUGGUCCCCCAAGGAGGCACCACAAGGUGCGAGCUUGCCCUGUGACAUAAGAGUGCUCAAGGGUAAACUCAGGGCUUUCAUGUCUAGUCUUUGAGGACAGUUGUUCAACUCUGCACUAAUACUUUUUUAAAAUGGGGGUGUCAAUUGAGGGCAGUUAUUAUGGAUUGUGUCUCCCCAAAAAUGUGUUGGAGUUCUAACCCCUAUACCUGUGGAUGUGAUCCUGUUUCCAAACAGAGUUUUCUUUGUUAUGUUAACGGAGCCAUACCAGAGUCCGGUGUGUCCUAAACAGGAAAUCACUUCUGAGUUAAAAAAGCAGAUUACACAUGGAGGCACGCAAACAUGUGGGAUAAUAAUACAUGACGUUGCUCGUUUGGAACUACUCAGUCUAAGCUUUUUGGAUCACGGCUCGAUGGGUCAAGUUAUUGUGUACAGCAUAUUCGCCAUGGAAUUCCAUUUUGAUGCACGUUAAGAGUACACAAUUAAUAAAUCAAUUUGGUUGGAAAAAAUUGUCUCAGGACUUUGUACAUUAAGCUGUGAGAAGUCACCAGACUGUGCACUUCAUUAUGCCAUCGGGUGUUUCGUAUUCUGAGCUCAAUAAAGGUACAUUGCCUCAAGCCGUAUAGUUCUAACAGGUAGAAAAGGGAUUAUUCAUGAAGAUGGAAAAUACAAUAAAGUAGAAGACCUUCCAAAAGAAAAAAUCAAACUUGUUGCCAUCGAGUCAAUUCCAACUCAUAGCGACCCUAUGGGACAGAGUAGAACUGUCUCAUAGGGUUUCCAAGGAACGGUUGGUGGAUUUGAACUGCUGACAUUUUGGUUAGCAGUGGAGCUCUUAACCACUGAGCCACCAGGAAUCCAGAAGACCUUAGAGUCUUCUAAAAUCAAUAACAACAUAUGGUGCCACAUACGAAUCCACCAGUCACUCCUUGGAAACCCUGUAGGGGGUAGUUCUACUCUGUCCUAUAGGGUCACUAUAAGUCGGAAUCAACUUGAUGGCAACAGGUUUUUUUUUAGUGAUUCUGAUGGAUAAAUGGCCUCAGCUAUAUAUACUCCCAUAGAGAUUAACUUGUUCAAAAGAACAAAUUGAAAAUGUUUAAAAAAAAAUAAAGAGGUCUAUAACUUAGAGACCCAAAUUUAUGCUCUCCCUCUUCAUUCCGCAUUCAGGGCUCACCCUGCCUGACACAUUAAUAACCCAGUUUUCAGAAGAAAUGUGCAGGUUAGAUUAAUUAGGU